RNAcentral lists this ribosomal RNA (497 nucleotides) under uncultured bacterium. RNAcentral's name for it is "partial 16S ribosomal RNA". It matches the Rfam family "Bacterial small subunit ribosomal RNA", at positions 28 to 507 of the family's 1533-position model. The record is from RNAcentral.
GAUGAACGCUGGCGGCGUGCCUAAUACAUGCAAGUCGAGCGAACAGACGAGGAGCUUGCUCCUCUGACGUUAGCGGCGGACGGGUGAGUAACACGUGGAUAACCUACCUAUAAGACUGGGAUAACUUCGGGAAACCGGAGCUAAUACCGGAUAAUAUAUUGAACCGCAUGGUUCAAUAGUGAAAGACGGUUUUGCUGUCACUUAUAGAUGGAUCCGCGCCGCAUUAGCUAGUUGGUAAGGUAACGGCUUACCAAGGAAACGAUGCGUAGCCGACCUGAGAGGGUGAUCGGCCACACUGGAACUGAGACACGGUCCAGACUCCUACGGGAGGCAGCAGUAGGGAAUCUUCCGCAAUGGGCGAAAGCCUGACGGAGCAACGCCGCGUGAGUGAUGAAGGUCUUCGGAUCGUAAAACUCUGUUAUUAGGGAAAAACAAAUGUGUAAGUAACUAUGCACGUCUUGACGGUACCUAAUCAGAAAGCCACGGCUAACUACGUG